UACGUAGGUGGCAAGCGUUAUCCGGAUUUAUUGGGCGUAAAGGGAACGCAGGCGGUCUUUUAAGUCUGAUGUGAAAGCCUUCGGCUUAACCGGAGUAGUGCAUUGGAAACUGGGAGACUUGAGUGCAGAAGAGGAGAGUGGGACUCCAUGUGUAGCGGUGAAAUGCGUAGAUAUAUGGAAGAACACAAGUGGCGAAAGCGGCUCUCUGGUCUGUAACUGACGCUGAGGUUCGAAAGCGUGGGUAGCAAACAGG
Molecule: ribosomal RNA, 253 nt
Filed under: uncultured bacterium
Lineage: Bacteria
Description: partial 16S ribosomal RNA
Rfam family: Bacterial small subunit ribosomal RNA
Source: RNAcentral